RNAcentral lists this transfer RNA (96 nucleotides) under Nitrospinaceae bacterium. RNAcentral describes it as "tRNA-Sec". It matches the Rfam family "Selenocysteine transfer RNA". Lineage: Bacteria; Pseudomonadati; Nitrospinota; Nitrospinia; Nitrospinales; Nitrospinaceae. The record is from RNAcentral.
GGAGAGUGUCGAUUCGCUGGUGCGGUCCACGGUCUUCAAAACCGUUGUCGGUUCGUGAACGGGCCGAGGUAGGUUCGAUUCCUACCCUCUCCGCCA